UAGAAGCUCAUAUUCCCCUUAAUUCUCCUGCCUUUCUCCCCUGUUCUGUCAUUGCUCCUGUCUACAGAUGCCUUAGGUUAUUCCUGUUAAAAGAAGGUUGAUAACUUCUAGGAGGGGAGCUCUUCCUUAACCCAGCAGUUCAAGGAGAGUAAGAAGAAUCUCAUCAUAAAUUGAUGGCCUACUGUGUUUUAGGUGAUUUUAUAGACAGGAUCUCAUUUAAUCACUGUCAUUCUAUGAGAGGAGGUGUCAUCGCCUCUAGGGACCCUGCCCUGGCCUGACACAGGGUCCGGUGUGAGUCUUCUAAGCUCCCAAAGAUAACCAGCUAGAACAUGAUCUGUCUCUGCAUGAAGACGUUGGACCUCUGACCUUUUCUGUAGCUAUUCCAGGCAAGUAUAAUAAACAGAGUUC
This is a long non-coding RNA of Equus caballus (horse), 408 nucleotides long. RefSeq lists it as uncharacterized. Lineage: Eukaryota; Metazoa; Chordata; Mammalia; Perissodactyla; Equidae. The record is from RefSeq and is a predicted model, not a curated record.